RNAcentral lists this ribosomal RNA (492 nucleotides) under uncultured bacterium. Its description in RNAcentral is "partial 16S ribosomal RNA". It matches the Rfam family "Bacterial small subunit ribosomal RNA", at positions 29 to 507 of the family's 1533-position model. The record is from RNAcentral.
AGUGAACGCUGGCGGUAGGCCUAACACAUGCAAGUCGAACGGCAGCACAGUAAGAGCUUGCUCUUACGGGUGGCGAGUGGCGGACGGGUGAGGAAUACAUCGGAAUCUACUUUUUCGUGGGGGAUAACGUAGGGAAACUUACGCUAAUACCGCAUACGACCUACGGGUGAAAGCAGGGGAUCUUCGGACCUUGCGCGAUUGAAUGAGCCGAUGUCGGAUUAGCUAGUUGGCGGGGUAAAGGCCCACCAAGGCGACGAUCCGUAGCUGGUCUGAGAGGAUGAUCAGCCACACUGGAACUGAGACACGGUCCAGACUCCUACGGGACGCAGCAGUGGGGAAUAUUGGACAAUGGGCGCAAGCCUGAUCCAGCCAUACCGCGUGGGUGAAGAAGGCCUUCGGGUUGUAAAGCCCUUUUGUUGGGAAAGAAAAGCAGCAGGUUAAUACCCCGCUGUUCUGACGGUACCCAGAGAAUAAGCACCGGCUAACUUCGUG